GUUAAAAAGCUCGUAGUUGGAUUUCGGCGGGUAGUGGUUGGUUUGAAUUGAUUCAACACUGACUUUUUUACCCGUGUGUUUUGCCAGAAUCUUACGGGUGAUCUUUACCGAUUGUCCGUUGGAACUGGCAGGUUUACUUUGAAAAAAUUAGAGUGCUCAAAGCAAGCUUACUGCUCGAAUAGUUGCGCAUGGAAUAAUAGAAUAGGAAGUCGUUUCUAUUUUGUUGGUUUUCGGAAAUCGACUUAAUGAUUAAUAGGGAUAGUCGGGGGCAUUUGUAUUCAACGACAGAGGUGAAAUUCUUGGACCGUUUGAAGACGAACUAAGGCGAAAGCAUUUGCCAAGAAUGUUUUCAUUAAUCAAGAACGAAAGUUAGAGGUUCGAAGGCGAUUAGAUACCGCCCUAGUUCUAACCAUAAACGAUGCCAGCUAGCGAUCUGCCGGCGCUUAAUUUUCUGGCCUGGCAGGGAGCUUCCGGGAAACCAAGCUGUGGUC
RNAcentral lists this ribosomal RNA (491 nucleotides) under uncultured eukaryote. RNAcentral describes it as "SSU rRNA". It matches the Rfam family "Eukaryotic small subunit ribosomal RNA", at positions 618 to 1112 of the family's 1831-position model. The record is from RNAcentral.